RNAcentral lists this unclassified non-coding RNA (990 nucleotides) under Hevea brasiliensis (rubber tree). Lineage: Eukaryota; Viridiplantae; Streptophyta; Magnoliopsida; Malpighiales; Euphorbiaceae. The record is from RNAcentral.
UUGAUGGGUAUUAUUGCUAAACUACUAUAUUAUGUUGCCUUACUCUCUUAUUUUUAUUAUUGAAUUUCAUUUAUACAUGAUCUUUCCACAUGAAUUUCAUUAAGUGUUUAAAGGUUAGACAUUAAACAGUAUCUUCUGUUAGACAUUUAAUAAUAAAAUUUAUCUCUUAAAUUUAAAAUACCAUAAUAACCACUAAUAACUGCAACUUUGAUUCAACUUUGAAAUCAUGACAUGUACUUACUAUGAAAAUUCUUCAACUAAACUGCAUUUUUUAUUGAUUGGGGAACUCAUCACAACUGGUCCUAUAGCGAUUUAAGAGUUGAUUUUCUUUUUUAUGCUGCUUGAUCUUGUCUUGUAGGUCUCCUCUUUGUUGCAGAUUCUGUACUUGGAGGCUUUUGUAUGCGACUUUUCUGCAGAAUUUUCUGUAGCUCUCGGCUUGGUUUUGCUGCUUUCUAAACCUUUGACUUUUCUUCUGCUGACAAUUGUUAUCCUGGACUUUUAUUUGUUGUCUUUUGUUAUGUAACUUUGGUACUGUCUUGUUAGUGUGUUUUAUACCUUUCUUUCUAUGUUUUUUCACUUAGCAUACCAUUGUUGGGAGUAGUGGGGAAGCCUAUCGGUUUGGUUUGGUUGGCAACUGAUACAUGCAUUUUGCAUAGUCAUUUAGGUUAGAUUUUAUAAUCAUUUCAUUUAUUUGUUAGUCACUUUUAGCUAAUUUUAUUAGUUAUUUAGAUAAUUUUUCAUAAUUAUUAAUUUUUGAGUUAAUUUGUAAUUUACUUUGUUUUAUAGUUAAAAUAGUAUUUUUGAGGGAGUAAACAGUAAUUGUGCCAGUAAGGAGUGAUUCUCAUAGUAAAAAAUGUCAAAAUUAAGCUUGAAGGUUGAAGAAUGCAAAAUUGCCAAAGUCUGCAUAACCUGCUGCACAAAUCAUGUAGUUUCUGCACAAUAAGCAAUUUUUAAACCUGCUGAAACCUGCAUAACUUGUGCAGAUUCACU